RNAcentral lists this ribosomal RNA (468 nucleotides) under uncultured bacterium. RNAcentral describes it as "partial 16S ribosomal RNA". It matches the Rfam family "Bacterial small subunit ribosomal RNA", at positions 28 to 507 of the family's 1533-position model. The record is from RNAcentral.
GACGAACGCUGGCGGCGUGCUUAACACAUGCAAGUCGAACGGAAAGGCCCUGCUUUUGUGGGGUGCUCGAGUGGCGAACGGGUGAGUAACACGUGAGUAACCUGCCCUUGACUUUGGGAUAACUUCAGGAAACUGGGGCUAAUACCGGAUAGGAGCUCCUGCUGCAUGGUGGGGGUUGGAAAGUUUCGGCGGUUGGGGAUGGACUCGCGGCUUAUCAGCUUGUUGGUGGGGUAGUGGCUUACCAAGGCUUUGACGGGUAGCCGGCCUGAGAGGGUGACCGGCCACAUUGGGACUGAGAUACGGACCAGAGUCCAACGGGAGGCAACAGGGGGGAAUAUUGCACAAUGGGCGGAAGCCUGAUGCAGCAGCGCCGCGUGCGGGAUGACGGCCUUCGGGUUGUAAACCGCUUUCGCCUGUGACGAAGCGUGAGUGACGGUAAUGGGUAAAGAAGCACCGGCUAACUACGUG